This 1214-nucleotide ribosomal RNA is filed under the name metagenome. RNAcentral describes it as "bacterial LSU rRNA". It matches the Rfam family "Bacterial large subunit ribosomal RNA", at positions 1591 to 2816 of the family's 2925-position model. The record is from RNAcentral.
UAGUGGAUGUCAUACUUCCAAGAAAAGCUUGCACUGUCAUAAAUAGAAAACGCCUGUACCAUAACCGACACAGGUGGGUAGGUAGAGUAUACUAAGGGGCGCGAGAUAACUCUCUCUAAGGAACUCGGCAAAAUAACUCCGUAACUUCGGGAGAAGGAGUGCCUUAUUCGUAAGGCUGCAAUAACAAGAUCCAAGCAACUGUUUAUCAAAAACACAGGUCUCCGCUAAGUCGUAAGACGAUGUAUGGGGGCUGACGCCUGCCCAGUGCCAGAAGGUUAAAGAAGUCGGUUAGCAUUAGCGAAGCUGGUAACUGAAGCCCUGGUGAACGGCGGCCGUAACAAUAACGGUCCUAAGGUAGCGAAAUUCCUUGUCGGGUAAGUUCCGACCCGCACGAAAGGCGUAAUGAUUUGGAUACUGUCUCGGAGAGGGGCUCGGUGAAAUAGACUUGUCUGUGAAGAUGCGGACUACCUGCCCAGGACAGAAAGACCCUAUGAAGCUUUACUGUAACUUGAAAUUGAAAUUGGACUUUAUUCGCGCAGUAUAGGUGGGAGGUGUUGAUUAUAAUCUUGCGGGAUUAUUGGAGCCAUCAGUGAGAUACCACUCUUGUAAUGUUAGAUUUCUAACUUUGAAUCAUUAUCUGGUCAAAGAACAGUUUCAGGCGGGCAGUUUGACUGGGGCGGUCGCCUCCUAAAUGGUAACGGAGGCGUACAAAGGUUUCCUCUGAACGUGUAGAAAUCGUAUCUAGAGUGUAAAGGCAUAAGGAAGCUUGACUGUGAGACCUACAAGUCGAGCAGGGACGAAAGUCGGUCUUAGUGAUCUGACGGUACUGAGUGGAAAGGCCGUCACUCAACGGAUAAAAGUUACUCUAGGAUAACAGGCUGAUCUCCCCCAAGAGUUCACAUCGACGGGGAGGUUUGGCACCUCGAUGUCGGCUCAUCGCAUCCUGGGGCGGUAGUACGUCCCAAGGGUUGGGCUGUUCGCCCAUGAAAGCGGUACGCGAGCUGGGUUCAGAACGUCGUGAGACAGUUCGGUCCAUAUCCGGUGUAGGCGUUAGAAUAUUGAGAGGAGCCUUCUUUAGUACGAGAGGACCGAGAAGGACAUACCUCUGGUGUACCAGUUAUCGUGCCAACGGUAAACGCUGGGUAGCUAUGUAUGGAGUGGAUAACCGCUGAAAGCAUCUAAGUGGGAAGCCCACCUCAAGAUAAGUAUUCUCA